This 408-nucleotide ribosomal RNA is filed under the name uncultured bacterium. RNAcentral describes it as "partial 16S ribosomal RNA". It matches the Rfam family "Bacterial small subunit ribosomal RNA", at positions 29 to 526 of the family's 1533-position model. The record is from RNAcentral.
AGUGAACGCUGGCGGCGUGCCUAAUACAUGCAAGUCGAACGGAGUGGCGCACGGGUGAGUAAUAUAUAGCUAAUCUGCCCCUUGCUGGCGGACAACAGUUAGAAAUGACUGCUAAUACUCCAUAGCAUGGGAUGAGACUAUAUCGUAUCAGCUAGUCGGUGGGGUAACGGCCUACCGAGGCUAUGACGCGUAACUGGUCUGAGAGGAUGAUCAGUAACAUUGGAAGUGAGACACGGGCAAAACUACUACGGGAGGCAGCAGUAGUGAAUAUGGCGAAAUGGGGGAGACCCUGACGCAGCAACGCAGCGUGGAGGAUGACAGUUUUCGGAGAGUAAACUCCUUUUGUUAGGGACGCGGUACCUAACGAAUAAGCACCGGCUAACUCCGUGCCAGCAGCCGCGGUAAUAC